AGAUGUGAUGACAUCCUGUAAAAGUAAAGAAGAGGAAGAUUCACCCUGGGAUUCUCCUUGGGACUCUGAGGACAUCCCACAUAAGAAUGUCGGUAAUUCAGCUGGAAGUACAUCUCACAGCAGAAAUUGUACUUUAAAAGGACAUGGAGAUGGUUUUCGUCAAAAAUGUCCUGAUUUGAAGGGCAUCAAUAACAUGGGAAAGUCUGCUUCUAACAAAGCAGUAGGAAUGAAG
Molecule: long non-coding RNA, 232 nt
Organism: Erinaceus europaeus (western European hedgehog)
Lineage: Eukaryota; Metazoa; Chordata; Mammalia; Eulipotyphla; Erinaceidae
Exons: 4
Source: RefSeq, a predicted model, not a curated record